AUACGUAGGGUGCAAGCGUCAUCCGGAAUUAUUGUGCGUAAAGCGCUCGUAGGCGAUUCGUCGCGUCCGGUGUGAAAGUCCAUCGCUUAACGGUGGAUCCGCGCCGGGUACGGGCGGGCUUGAGUGCGGUAGGGGAGACUGGAAUUCCCGGUGUAACGCUGGAAUGUGUAGAUAUCGGGAAGAACACCAAUGGCGAAGGCAGGUCUCUGGGCCGUUACUGACGUUGAGGAGCGAAAGCGUGGGGAGCGAACAGGAUUAGAUACCGGGGUAGUGCACGCCGUAAACGGUGGAUGCGGGAUGUGGGGCCCGUUCCACGGGUUCCGUGUCGGAGCUAACGCGUUAAGCAUCCCGCCUGGGGAGUACGGCCGCAAGGCUAAAACUCAAUGAAAUUGACGGGGGCCCGCACAAGCGGCGGAGCAUGCGGAUUAAUUCGAUGCAACGCGAAGAACCUUACCUGGGCUUGACAUGUUCCCGACGAUCCCAGAGAUGGGGUUUCCCUUCGGGGCGGGUUCACAGGUGGUGCAUGGUCGUCGUCAGCUCGUGUCGUGAGAUGUUGGGUUAAGUCCCGCAACGAGCGCAACCCUCGCCCCGCGUUGCCAGCGGAUUGUGCCGGGAACUCACGGGGGACCGCCGGGGUUAACUCGGAGGAAGGUGGGGAUGACGUCAGAUCAUCAUGCCCCUUACGUCCAGGGCUUCACGCAUGCUACAAUGGCCGGUACAACGGGAUGCGACAGCGCGAGCUGGAGCGGAUCCCUGAAAACCGGUCUCAGUUCGGAUCGCAGUCUGCAACUCGACUGCGUGAAGGCGGAGUCGCUAGUAAUCGCGAAUCAG
RNAcentral lists this ribosomal RNA (831 nucleotides) under human gut metagenome. RNAcentral describes it as "bacterial SSU rRNA". It matches the Rfam family "Bacterial small subunit ribosomal RNA", at positions 523 to 1352 of the family's 1533-position model. The record is from RNAcentral.